This 468-nucleotide ribosomal RNA is filed under the name uncultured bacterium. RNAcentral describes it as "SSU rRNA". It matches the Rfam family "Bacterial small subunit ribosomal RNA", at positions 26 to 518 of the family's 1533-position model. The record is from RNAcentral.
AGGACGAACGCUGGCGGCGUGCCUAACACAUGCAAGUCGAACGGAGCCCGCAAGGGUUCAGUGGCGAACGGGUGCGUAACACGUGAGGAACUUGUCCAUCGGCGGGGGAUAGCCGGCCCAACGGCCGGGUAAUACCGCGUACGCCGUCCGGAGCGCAUGCUCUGGCCGGGAAAGCAGCAAUGCACCGAUGGAGAGCCUCGCGGCCUAUCAGCUAGUUGGUGGGGUAAUGGCCUACCAAGGCGACGACGGGUAGCUGGUCUGAGAGGAUGACCAGCCACAUUGGGACUGAGACACGGCCCAGACUCCUACGGAGGCAGCAGUGGGGAAUAUUGCGCAAUGGGCGAAAGCCUGACGCAGCGACGCCGCGUGUGGGAUGACGGCCUUCGGUUGUAAACCACUGUCGCGAGGGACGAAGAUCUGACGGUACCGUCGAAAGGAAGCACCGGCUAACUCUGCGCCAGCAGCCGC